This 592-nucleotide ribosomal RNA is filed under the name Bacillus sp. CH111_4T. Its description in RNAcentral is "bacterial SSU rRNA". It matches the Rfam family "Bacterial small subunit ribosomal RNA", at positions 60 to 632 of the family's 1533-position model. RNAcentral also lists the same sequence under 2 other names. Lineage: Bacteria; Bacillati; Bacillota; Bacilli; Caryophanales; Bacillaceae. The record is from RNAcentral.
AGUCGAGCGAAUGGAUUGAGAGCUUGCUCUCAAGAAGUUAGCGGCGGACGGGUGAGUAACACGUGGGUAACCUGCCCAUAAGACUGGGAUAACUCCGGGAAACCGGGGCUAAUACCGGAUAACAUUUUGAACUGCAUGGUUCGAAAUUGAAAGGCGGCUUCGGCUGUCACUUAUGGAUGGACCCGCGUCGCAUUAGCUAGUUGGUGAGGUAACGGCUCACCAAGGCAACGAUGCGUAGCCGACCUGAGAGGGUGAUCGGCCACACUGGGACUGAGACACGGCCCAGACUCCUACGGGAGGCAGCAGUAGGGAAUCUUCCGCAAUGGACGAAAGUCUGACGGAGCAACGCCGCGUGAGUGAUGAAGGCUUUCGGGUCGUAAAACUCUGUUGUUAGGGAAGAACAAGUGCUAGUUGAAUAAGCUGGCACCUUGACGGUACCUAACCAGAAAGCCACGGCUAACUACGUGCCAGCAGCCGCGGUAAUACGUAGGUGGCAAGCGUUAUCCGGAAUUAUUGGGCGUAAAGCGCGCGCAGGUGGUUUCUUAAGUCUGAUGUGAAAGCCCACGGCUCAACCGUGGAGGGUCAUUGGAAA